RNAcentral lists this unclassified non-coding RNA (295 nucleotides) under Hevea brasiliensis (rubber tree). The record is from RNAcentral. Lineage: Eukaryota; Viridiplantae; Streptophyta; Magnoliopsida; Malpighiales; Euphorbiaceae.
GUAAGAAGACCUAGAGGCUAGUAGCGAAGGAAGGCAAGGCUUCAACGGCGAGGACAUGCAAGAAAUUCUCUAGCAAACGAUCGACAACGGUUGGAAGACAUGGAGAAUACUUGAUUUCAAUGCAAACAAAAAGCUUCAAUGGCAGUCGAUUUGAGGGAUUGUCUUCGUUAAUAGGAAGACAUGCAAGAAAUCCUCAAGCAAACAACUGACAAGAUGAUUGAAGGAUGGAGAAGAGACACAAGAUGGAGAAGAAGAAAUGAAAGGAGCUAGAGAUUUUGAUUUGAGGCGAUGUUUU